This 426-nucleotide ribosomal RNA is filed under the name uncultured bacterium. RNAcentral describes it as "bacterial SSU rRNA". It matches the Rfam family "Bacterial small subunit ribosomal RNA", at positions 354 to 796 of the family's 1533-position model. The record is from RNAcentral.
GUGAGGAAUCUUGCACAAUGGGGGCAACCCUGAUGCAGCGACACCGCGUGCGGGAAGAAGGCCUUCGGGUCGUAAACCGCUUUUCUGGGGGACGAGGAAGGACGGUACCCCAGGAAUAAGUCCCGGCUAACUACGUGCCAGCAGCCGCGGUAAAACGUAGGGGGCGAGCGUUAUCCGGAAUCACUGGGCGUAAAGGGCGUCUAGGCGGCCAUUUAAGUCUCAUGUGAAAGCUCCCGGCUCAACUGGGAGAGGGCGUGGGAAACUGGAUGGCUAGAGCGUCGGAGGGGGGUGUGGAAUUCCCGGUGGAGUGGUGGAAUGCGUUGAGAUCGGGAGGAACACCAGAAGCGAAGGCGGCACCCUGGCCGACGGCUGACGCUGAAGCGCGAGAGCGUGGGGAGCGAACGGGAUUAGAAACCCUGGUAGUCC